CCUACGGGGGGCAGCAGUGGGGAAUAUUGCGCAAUGGGCGCAAGCCAGAUGCAGCCAUGCCGCGUGUGUGAAGAAGGCCUUCGGGUUGUAAAGCACUUUCAGCGGGGAGGAAGGCGUUAAGGUUAAUAACCUUGUCGAUUGACGUUACCCGCAGAAGAAGCACCGGCUAACUCCGUGCCAGCAGCCGCGGUAAUACGGAGGGUGCAAGCGUUAAUCGGAAUUACUGGGCGUAAAGCGCACGCAGGCGGUCUGUCAAGUCGGAUGUGAAAUCCCCGGGCUCAACCUGGGAACUGCAUUCGAAACUGGCAGGCUAGAGUCUUGUAGAGGGGGGUAGAAUUCCAGGUGUAGCGGUGAAAUGCGUAGAGAUCUGGAGGAAUACCGGUGGCGAAGGCGGCCCCCUGGACAAAGGCUGACGCUCAGGUGCGAAAGCGUGGGGAGCAAACAGGAUUAGAUACCCUUGUAGUC
Molecule: ribosomal RNA, 465 nt
Filed under: uncultured Klebsiella sp.
Lineage: Bacteria; Pseudomonadati; Pseudomonadota; Gammaproteobacteria; Enterobacterales; Enterobacteriaceae
Description: bacterial SSU rRNA
Rfam family: Bacterial small subunit ribosomal RNA
Source: RNAcentral